Long non-coding RNA from Gallus gallus (chicken), 1108 nucleotides. Lineage: Eukaryota; Metazoa; Chordata; Aves; Galliformes; Phasianidae. The record is from Ensembl.
GUAGUUUUGACCUGCUGAAACGGAGAAAAUUGCAAUUGGGUGGAGAAAAGGUGAUCCAGUUGAAAUCCAGUUGGACAGCUCUGUGGAUCUCUCAGAUGACUUGGAGGCUACAAAUGCAAGGGCACUGUAAGAGGGAGGAUGAAAGGAACCAUUCACUUGACCCACAUGGCAAUUCCUGUUUGACUUGUGUAAAUUAGGAAUUGCUACAUCAUUGGACUGUUCUUUUAGCAACUGCUUCAAAUUCCUUGUUGCUUUAUUUUACCCUGAAAAUCAUUUCAGCCACCUGUGGAUGAUAAACAGACGAUGAAUAAUUGAGUUAAUCCAAGAAAGCUUUGGGGCUGCAGCUAUCACAGUAGGUAUAAAAACAAAUCCAUGCAAAUUCCUUCCUGUAUCAAGGUAGAUUAUCUAUUUGCUGUUAACCUUCUGAGGCAUUCACUUAGACCUGCGAGAUGAGUUUUCUUCUUGUGAGAAAGAAUCACUUCCAUUCAAUUCUUAGUUUGACACUUGAAGCAGUGUAGCACAGGAAGAGUGUGUUAUGUAAGAACAUGCACCCUAAAAAAUAGGCAUCCCUUCUGAAACUGAUAUACUGAAUAAAAGAGGUGUUUUCUCAAGCAAGUAAAAAUGCAUACUUUGUUGUAAUCCAAGGGUUAUCAUUAAUUUAGGUUAAAGAUAGAUGUCCUGUAUGGCUGUGCCUUCAGUUAAUGAGAAAGAUAUUCUCAUACCAAAGCCACUUUUUUUUUGCUGCUUUCUGUAUGAGUCAUCCAAGGUCAAAAUUAGAGUUAAACUCAAUAUAAACAUUAAACAGAAAUCCGGAAGAGCUGAAACUCUUCUGGUACAAGAAAUGCAUUUGUGACCUUGGCAAUCAUCGUGCUCAAGAUCUUCUCCAUAAGUCACUCAGGAAAAAUCUUGUCCAUUCCCCUGGUGACAGGCAUGCAUUGUUUGUUAAUAAUAGCAAAGAUAACAGAAAGAUGUAGAAAAAUAUUUCAUUCCGCAGAUAUCAGUGAGAUCUCUCUCUCUCUCUUCCCUACAUCUCAGCCCAAAAUAUAUAUGUAAUUUAAGUUGCCCUGAGGUUCGGGACAAAAACACAUUGAAAUACCAACAUUUUCUG